RNAcentral lists this ribosomal RNA (801 nucleotides) under uncultured bacterium. Its description in RNAcentral is "bacterial SSU rRNA". It matches the Rfam family "Bacterial small subunit ribosomal RNA", at positions 40 to 826 of the family's 1533-position model. The record is from RNAcentral.
CGGCGUGCCUAAUACAUGCAAGUCGAGCGGACUUAAAAAGCUUGCUUUUUAAGUUAGCGGCGGACGGGUGAGUAACACGUGGGCAACCUGCCUGUAAGACUGGGAUAACUUCGGGAAACCGGAGCUAAUACCGGAUAAUCCUUUUCUACUCAUGUAGAAAAGCUGAAAGACGGUUUACGCUGUCACUUACAGAUGGGCCCGCGGCGCAUUAGCUAGUUGGUGAGGUAACGGCUCACCAAGGCGACGAUGCGUAGCCGACCUGAGAGGGUGAUCGGCCACACUGGGACUGAGACACGGCCCAGACUCCUACGGGAGGCAGCAGUAGGGAAUCUUCCGCAAUGGACGAAAGUCUGACGGAGCAACGCCGCGUGAGUGAUGAAGGUUUUCGGAUCGUAAAACUCUGUUGUUAGGGAAGAACAAGUACGAGAGUAACUGCUCGUACCUUGACGGUACCUAACCAGAAAGCCACGGCUAACUACGUGCCAGCAGCCGCGGUAAUACGUAGGUGGCAAGCGUUGUCCGGAAUUAUUGGGCGUAAAGCGCGCGCAGGCGGUCCUUUAAGUCUGAUGUGAAAGCCCACGGCUCAACCGUGGAGGGUCAUUGGAAACUGGGGGACUUGAGUGCAGAAGAGGAGAGUGGAAUUCCACGUGUAGCGGUGAAAUGCGUAGAGAUGUGGAGGAACACCAGUGGCGAAGGCGACUCUCUGGUCUGUAACUGACGCUGAGGCGCGAAAGCGUGGGGAGCGAACAGGAUUAGAUACCCUGGUAGUCCACGCCGUAAACGAUGAGUGCUAAGUGUUAG